RNAcentral lists this long non-coding RNA (1083 nucleotides) under Scleropages formosus (Asian bonytongue). Its description in RNAcentral is "lncRNA (ENSSFOG00015032818.1)". Lineage: Eukaryota; Metazoa; Chordata; Actinopteri; Osteoglossiformes; Osteoglossidae. The record is from RNAcentral.
CUUCGUUGGCGAUUGGUAGUCUCUUGUUCCCUCAGUUUGUUUUCUAGGUGUGCAUGUUCCAGUCCCGAGUGCCCGUCCCGUCAGUUCCUGCCUCUUGUUCUUCAGUCCUGGUCCAUCGUUCCUGUCCGGUAUUUCGUCACGUCUCAGGGUUGCGGUCAGACUCACAGAUUAGCGUUUCACUGUUCACCGUAGUUCCAACACCGUGUGUGUUUCCUGGUCUCGUGUUUCUUGUUUCACUUCCACCGAGUGUCUUACAAUACUCACCGUACACGUCUAACCUCACACUGCACGUGAAGUCAUUAUAUAUUUCGUCUGUGUUUGGACGUAAUAGCAACGCGCGUCCGUGUCGGACUCCCGUCCGGACGCUACAGAAGAAUCCGCCUGCUAAUAUGACUUCAGCGGAAUGGCGUGAGCUGGCGGAUCUGACAGAGGCGAACCAAGAACGGCUCCUGGUUUGCGCAAACGCCGCUAGCCGCCUCACAGAUCAGUUGGAGCAGUUGACACGACUCCUCAGUCACGGUGGGCGGGGCGCCGAUCCGACCAGUUCGCAAACGCAUGAUGAUUGGCGGACAUGUCUUUUUGAUCGUCUUUAUGCUUCCUCGGGUCCUCGCGCGGAGCCCACGAGCCCUGUGCAGACCAAUGGGAUCAGCGCUACUGAGCAGCUGUCCGUUCCCUUCCCGGAGGCUUUGCAAAGUCGUAGAGGUCUCCAGUGGAGAAGACAUCCAGCCCCCGAUUGUCAAGACCACUCUCUCAGGAGUUCUCGCCGGAUUACCGGAGCAACUCCGGGUCCAGCCGGACCCCGACGCCGCCAGGGCAGCAGGUGCCCUACAGCCCUGUGGACAGUGAGCCGGCUCAAGCACGCAACCUUGUCAGCUGUGCAGGGCUCGAAGAACAGUGCGUCAGACAGGGAAUAAUACGACUCAGUAACGGGCGUUUGACAGAGGAGGAAAGGAGGCGCCGUUUUCUGCAACGCUUGUGCUUUUACUGUGGAGCUGCGGAUCACGUGCAGGUUUCCUGUCCAGUGCGGCCACCCCGUGGAUCCCAACGGACCGACUUACUGGUGAGUGAUGUAUCUCUCCAUAC